Molecule: RNA transcript, 1736 nt
Organism: Solenopsis invicta (red fire ant)
Lineage: Eukaryota; Metazoa; Arthropoda; Insecta; Hymenoptera; Formicidae
Gene name: RWD domain-containing protein 1-like
Exons: 5
Source: RefSeq, a predicted model, not a curated record
UCAUUAUUCUUACUUAUUUUCAUUAUUCUUACUUAUUUUCAUUAUUCUUACUUAUUUUCAUUAUUCUUACUUAUUUUUAUUAUCAUCAUCAUCAUAUUUCAUCUCAUUUUCAUCAUCAGCGAUCAGCGAGAGAGAUCAGCCUCUUUUACGCGAGUCAGCAAGUUCAAGCAUAACGAGAUUAUCAGAUCUCAGUAACGGCUGAACCGAUCAAGUUUUGAGUAGUCUCGAUAGCUUGGUGAAAAUUGCAUAAUAGAAGUGUUUUAUUUUUUCUUUCCGUGCCCUACGAACGGAGAUAUUGCGACGCAAAAUCCAAAUCUCGACGAUUUACAUUUAAGAUACGUCAUCAUUAUUAUUAUCGCCAAGCGAAUCUUGUCCAGUAAAUUUUUUCGACACGAGUAACGAGUGGUGCUUGUUACUACACUAUCAGCCCGCAUGCAACCACGUGAUGCAUCAAGCUGCCAUUUCAUGCAGCGCAGAUUUACUGGCGAAGACUCCCACUACUACCCGCUCUCACUUCGCGGCUGCUUUUGGCGCCUUUAAAUAUCCGUUAGAAGUAUAGGAGCAGAAAUUUUCCAUUAAUAAGAGUAUAUAUUAAACUAAAUUGAACUUUAUUAAAAAAGUGACUUAGUGAAAAGUGACCAAGUGAAAAGUGACCAAGUGAAAAAUGACUAAGUGAAAAUAAGACAAAAUUAAGUUAAACGAGGGACGAUCUUUCAAGAGAAUAGUCAACUUAUAUAAAAAUUGUAUAAAUUGUCAAUUCUCUUGGAGAAUUGCACUUUGAUCUUAGCUUCCCUAACAGCACAGAUCUCCCAGGGACGUCCGGAGGACGUCCGUACGUCCUAAAGACGUCCUUAGGGACGUCCCCUAGAUGAAGUGUGCUGUUAGGGUUUGUUUCAGAUUGCUGUACAAGUUUAAUCAAGAAAUUGUGAAAAUAUAAAGACUACAAGAUGGAUCAAUAUUUAGAAUAUAUGGACCAGUUAAAUCGUACAAUUUCGGUUUUUGUUGAAUUAGAAAUAAAAAAACGACGUUUAGCUGCCGCAGCAGCUGCUAUAAUAAUACAUGAUAUGAACAGGGCUGGUGUUGUUGUGUUUAAUUAAUCUAUCAUCUACUACUUGCACCGCCAUUCGAUCCCAACAUCUGAACAGUAUCCUUUACGCAGAUUUUGUUUAUGAUGGGAGUACACAGACGAGUGAUAGCAUUCAAUUCAAUAUCAAUAUUAUAACUCAGCGGGCUAUAAGUGUGAUUGAUGACUUCUAUAUAUUAUGAAUUUUGUUGCAGCGACACUGGAAAGUUGAUCUUCAAGCCCACACAACCCUCUCAUCCCCAUGAGAUUUAGGGUAUUCGCAACUUCUUGAUAUUUUGAAAACUUUGAGUUCUAAAAGCUCCGCCAUUCUUAAUUAGAGUAAGGAAGAAUUAAACAGCAAAAGAAUUUGGAGGAUGGAGGUAACGAGAAAUUGAAGGCACAUCUAAUAGAACAGAUGUAUGAAAAUCUUGGAAUGGUAAUGGUUUUUACAAUGGUCAGUGCAGCUCAAGAAUGGCUGAACGUACAGUGGGACAAGAUAAACCUGAGAAGAGAAAAGACUGCGGCACAAAAACUGAAGGAGGAAAAGGAUGCAGAAGGGAAUAUUGAAAACACUGGCUAAGAAAUUCGAAAUAUAUUCACACAGACGACAAUUGUAAUGGUUUUAUAGACGAUUGAAGAGAACUCUCGUAACUGUCGAAUCUUUUUUAAGCUG